AGCGCUUCUCCUAAGGAGGCCACUGGUGCGCUCCAACGGAGAAGAAAAUUUGAGGGAGAUUAGGGUUUCUGAGGGCGGUUUAUUGGGGGGGAAGAGAGAGAGAGUGAGUGAGUGUAGAGAGAUGGAGGGAGGGGAGGAGAAGAGGGCGGCGAAUCCGCGGUGCUACAUGGAUAUCAGCAUCGGAGGGGAGAUGGAAGGGAGGAUCGUGGUGGAGCUCUAUGACGGGGUGGCGCCGAGGACGGCGGAGAACUUCAGGGCGCUGUGCACCGGGGAGAAAGGCAUCGGGCCUAAUACCGGCGUGCCGCUCCACUACAAGGGUACAUGUUUUCAUCGUGUUAUCAAAGGUUUUAUGAUACAAGGUGGAGAUAUAUCCAUGGGUGAUGGAACUGGAGGAGAAUCCAUAUAUGGACUAAAAUUUGAGGAUGAGAACUUUUUAUUGAAACAUGAAAGAAAAGGAAUGCUAUCAAUGGCCAAUUCUGGCCCCAACACCAAUGGCUCUCAGUUCUUUAUUACUACCACUAGAACAUCUCAUCUAGAUGGAAAACAUGUUGUGUUUGGCAAGGUGGUUAAAGGUAUGGGAAUCAUUUGGGCAGUUGAGCAUACUCCUGUUGGAGAUGGUGAUUAUCCCAUUGUUGAUGUAAUAAUUGCGGAUUGUGGAGAACUUUCUGAAGGGGCUGAUGAUGGAGUUUCAGAUUUUUUCAAAGAUGGUGAUAUGUAUCCAGAUUGGCCCAACGACCUUGAUGAGAAGCCAAGCAAGGUCUCAUGGUGGAUGAAUGCUGUGGACUCUGCUAAGGCUUUUGGAAAUGACUACUUCAAGAAACAGGACUUUAAGAUGGCUCUUAGAAAGUACCGUAAGGGUCUGCGCUACUUGGAUGUUUGCUGGGACAAAGAAGAGAUUGAUGAAGAGAAGAGCUUGUUGUUGCGGAAGACAAAGUCUAUUCUACUCACAAAUAGCUCUGCAUGCAAAUUGAAAUUAGGAAAUUCCAAGGGUGCCUUAUUAGAUGCUGACUUUGCAUUGCGCGAAAGAGAGGGUAAUGCCAAAGCAUAUUACCGCCAAGGCCAGGCACACAUGUCACUUAAUGAUGUGGAUGCUGCAGUGGAAAGUUUCAAGAAGGCACUAGAGUUAGAGCCAAAUGAUGGAGGCAUAAAGAAAGAGCUUGCUGCUGCAAAGAAGAAGAUUGCUGAUAGACGGGAUCAAGAACGAAAGGCUUAUUCCAGAAUGUUCCAAGUCUCAGUAAAAUCAGAUGCAAAUAAUGAGGGGAGACGUUGCUGAAAAAAUUCAGGUCUAAAAAAUUUAGUGGAAAUCUUUUGACAAGUGUGUAGAUAUAUCAGGUUCUCAUUUAACAUAGAAAGGUAUAUAAUUGGGACUGAAGAAAAAAAAAAGUCCCGAUCCCUUGAGAUGGAUGUAUACAGAAAAGGAUAAAGAAGUUUAAGCCAUUUUUUCUCAAAAAUAGUUGGUGUUGCAUCAGGAUAUUGUAGUAAUAGGCUGUUUAGAUGAGGGAUGUUUAGACUACUACAAAUAUUCCAUUUGGCUCUCCACAUAAACUCUCAUACUUUUUAUGAAUUGGAUGAUUUAUUCUUGACAUUUUACUCAUUCCUUUGACUUAUCUAUCUCACCUUUUUUCCUAAUCCUUUAUAUUACUGGUAGAUUUUAUAAUUCUCACCUAGCUGGGUUUAAUGCUUCCACAAAGCUUAAGCUUUUGUAAUUUUGUAUGGCAUAUUUAUGGUUCUCAACUGCUUUUCUUGGUU
Phoenix dactylifera (date palm) is the source of this 1749-nucleotide RNA transcript. It is a transcript of the gene named peptidyl-prolyl cis-trans isomerase CYP40-like, with no coding region annotated. The record is from RefSeq and is a predicted model, not a curated record. Lineage: Eukaryota; Viridiplantae; Streptophyta; Magnoliopsida; Arecales; Arecaceae.